Molecule: ribosomal RNA, 116 nt
Filed under: Escherichia coli
Lineage: Bacteria; Pseudomonadati; Pseudomonadota; Gammaproteobacteria; Enterobacterales; Enterobacteriaceae
Source: RNAcentral
GCUGGAGGCCUUAGCGCGGUGGUCCCACCUGACCCCAUGCCGAACUCAGAAGUGAAACGCCGUAGCGCCGAUGGUAGUGUGGGGUCUCCCCAUGCGAGAGUAGGGAACUGCCAGGC